RNAcentral lists this ribosomal RNA (450 nucleotides) under uncultured bacterium. RNAcentral describes it as "partial 16S ribosomal RNA". It matches the Rfam family "Bacterial small subunit ribosomal RNA", at positions 354 to 796 of the family's 1533-position model. The record is from RNAcentral.
GUGGGGAAUCUUCCGCAAUGGACGAAAGUCUGACGGAGCAACGCCGCGUGAGUGAAGAAGGUUUUCGGAUCGUAAAGCUCUUUCGUUAGGGACGAACGUGCUCUUUGUGAAUAAUGAGGAGUAAUGACGGUACCUAAAUAAGAAGCCACGGCUAACUACGUGCCAGCAGCCGCGGUAAUACGUAGGUGGCAAGCGUUGUCCGGAAUUAUUGGGCGUAAAGCGCGCGCAGGCGGGAUAUCAAGUCUGUCUUAAAAGUGCGAGGCUCAACCUCGUGAGGGGACAGAAACUGGUAUUCUUGAGUGUCGGAGAAGAAAGUGGAAUUCCAAGUGUAGCGGUGAAAUGCGUAGAGAUUUGGAAGAACACCAGUGGCGAAGGCGACUUUCUGGACGAUGUCUGACGCUGAGGCGCGAAAGCUAGGGGAGCGAACGGGAUUAGAAACCCGUGUAGUCC